RNAcentral lists this ribosomal RNA (254 nucleotides) under uncultured bacterium. Its description in RNAcentral is "partial 16S ribosomal RNA". It matches the Rfam family "Bacterial small subunit ribosomal RNA", at positions 524 to 776 of the family's 1533-position model. The record is from RNAcentral.
UACGAAGGGGGGCUAGCGUUGCUCGGAAUCACUGGGCGUAAAGGGUGCGUAGGCGGGUUUCUAAGUCAGAGGUGAAAUCCUGGAGCUCAACUCCAGAACUGCCUUUGAUACUGAAGAUCUUGAGUUCGGGAGAGGUGAGUGGAACUGCGAGUGUAGAGGUGAAAUUCGUAGAUAUUCGCAAGAACACCAGUGGCGAAGGCGGCUCACUGGCCCGAUACUGACGCUGAGGCACGAAAGCGUGGGGAGCAAACAGG